AGUGAACGCUGGCGGUAGGCCUAACACAUGCAAGUCGAACGGCAGCACAGUAAGAGCUUGCUCUUACGGGUGGCGAGUGGCGGACGGGUGAGGAAUACAUCGGAAUCUACUUUUUCGUGGGGGAUAACGUAGGGAAACUUACGCUAAUACCGCAUACGACCUACGGGUGAAAGCAGGGGAUCUUCGGACCUUGCGCGAUUGAAUGAGCCGAUGUCGGAUUAGCUAGUUGGCGGGGUAAAGGCCCACCAAGGCGACGAUCCGUAGCUGGUCUGAGAGGAUGAUCAGCCACAAUGGAACUGAGACACGGUCCAGAAUUCUAAGGGAGGCAGCAGUGGGGAAUAUUGGACAAUGGGCGCAAGCCUGAUCCAGCCAUACCGCGUGGGUGAAGAAGGCCUUCGGGUUGUAAAGCCCUUCUGUUGGGAAAGAAAAGCAGCAGGUUAAAAACCCGCUGUUCUGACGGUACCCAAAGAAUAAGCACCGGCUAACUUCGUG
This 492-nucleotide ribosomal RNA is filed under the name uncultured bacterium. Its description in RNAcentral is "partial 16S ribosomal RNA". It matches the Rfam family "Bacterial small subunit ribosomal RNA", at positions 29 to 507 of the family's 1533-position model. The record is from RNAcentral.